CAAAAAAUAGUUUAAAGAUGAUGAAUAUUAAUUUUGGAGAUUAAAGGUAUAAUAAUUAUUUAUUAUUUUUUUGA
This 74-nucleotide transfer RNA is filed under the name Crematogaster teranishii. RNAcentral's name for it is "tRNA-Pro". Lineage: Eukaryota; Metazoa; Arthropoda; Insecta; Hymenoptera; Formicidae. The record is from RNAcentral.